RNAcentral lists this RNase P RNA (463 nucleotides) under Phycisphaerales bacterium. RNAcentral describes it as "RNase P RNA component class A". It matches the Rfam family "Bacterial RNase P class A". From Rfam's summary of the family: Ribonuclease P (RNase P) is a ubiquitous endoribonuclease, found in archaea, bacteria and eukarya as well as chloroplasts and mitochondria. Its best characterised activity is the generation of mature 5'-ends of tRNAs by cleaving the 5'-leader elements of precursor-tRNAs. The record is from RNAcentral. Lineage: Bacteria; Pseudomonadati; Planctomycetota; Phycisphaerae; Phycisphaerales.
CGAGCGUCGCAAGGCGGCCGCUCGGGCACCGACCUCGGCUCACCCCGGGAGCGGGCGCCCGGGAGGAAAGUCCGAGCACGACAGGACACGGUGGUGGGUAACGCCCACCCGCCCGGAUCGGUCACGGGUACCAAGAGGACAUGGCAACAGAAAGCAAACCGCCGAUGGCCCGCGUCGCCGCUUGUUCGGGGCGGAACGGGAUCAGGCAAGGGUGAAAGGGUGCGGUAAGAGCGCACCGCUCGGCUGGCGACAGCCGGGGCACGGCUACAUCCACCGCGUGCAAGGCCACGCAGCCCCCGUCCGUCGCGAGGCGGGACCGCUGGUCCGGCGGGAAGGGGGCGGGUAGGCCGCUGAGGACCGCGUCGGCAACGGCGCGGCGAGAGAAAUGGCCGCCCACGGGCGCUCAGCUCCGCAAGGAUCGGAACGCCCCGGACAGAACUCGGCUUAGCGCGACGCUCGACCG